GAUAAAAACACAAUGUUGACUGUUGUAACCUAAUUUUUGAAUUUUUUACAUAUUAUGUCACAUAUCGUUAUUAAUAUAAUGUUAAUCGAUGCGACUGUACCCUACUUUGUAAGGAUCACUCUUAUUCAAACAAAAAAUUCUCUGAAACUGAUAUUAUCAAGAUGCUUGAUUUCUUGAUUGACAACAUAUUUGUAACGUUCG
RNAcentral lists this long non-coding RNA (201 nucleotides) under Mytilus galloprovincialis (Mediterranean mussel). The record is from RNAcentral. Lineage: Eukaryota; Metazoa; Mollusca; Bivalvia; Mytilida; Mytilidae.